This 757-nucleotide ribosomal RNA is filed under the name uncultured bacterium. RNAcentral describes it as "bacterial SSU rRNA". It matches the Rfam family "Bacterial small subunit ribosomal RNA", at positions 61 to 795 of the family's 1533-position model. The record is from RNAcentral.
GUCGAACGAGAAAGGGUUCUUCGGGAUCUGAGUAAAGUGGCGCACGGGUGAGUAACGCGUAGAUAACCUGUCCUGAUGUACAGGAUAACCCACCGAAAGGUGGACUAAUACUGUAUACGUUUUUCUAUCACAAGGUAGAGAAGGAAAGAUGGCCUCUGAUAUAAGCUAUCGCACUUGGAGGGGUCUGCGUACCAUUAGCUUGUUGGUGGGGUAAAGGCCUACCAAGGCAACGAUGGUUAGCGGGUCUGAGAGGAUGAUCCGUCACACUGGCACUGGAACACGGGCCAGACUCCUACGGGAGGCAGCAGUGAGGAAUAUUGCGCAAUGGGGGAAACCCUGACGCAGCGACGCCGCGUGAGUGAGGAAGGCCUUCGGGUCGUAAAGCUCUGUCAGAAGGGAAGAAGUGCAUAAAGGAUAAUACUCUUUAUGUUUGACGGUACCUUCAAAGGAAGCACCGGCUAACUCCGUGCCAGCAGCCGCGGUAAUACGGAGGGUGCAAGCGUUGUUCGGAAUUACUGGGCGUAAAGGGCGCGCAGGCGGUUUGGUAAGUCAGAUGUGAAAGCCCAUGGCUUAACUGUGGAAGUGCAUUUGAAACUGUCAGACUUGAGUACCAGAGGGNAAAGUGGAAUUCCCGGUGUANAGGUGAAAUUCGUAAAUAUCGGGAGGAAUACCGGUGGCGAAGGCGACUUUCUGGCUGGAUACUGACGCUGAGGCGCGAAAGCGUGGGGAGCAAACAGGAUUAAAUACCCUGGUAGUC